UCUUCUGAGGUUACUUGGUUGGUUUCCGCUGAGCUCAGCUUAGGAGUGAAGGGUUUGGCACUGUCGGAGUUUUUGGCCACCAUUUGGUUGGAUCGGCAGCUUGAAUCGCCACGAUACCCGGCUCAAUGACAAUGAACAAAAUCCUGAUCUGUCUCCUUGUCUGCUGCAUGAUGCUUUUUGAUUCCAUAUUGGAAGCAACGCCAAUGCUUAAUGCAACAAUGCCAACAAAAAAUGGAGCUGCUGGAUUUGCCUCGGCCACUGCCACACUGCUGGUUUUGUCACUUCUUCCAGUCUGCCUGCAGAGAGUUCUCUCGUAACUUGAUGGCCAAAGUCCCUUCAACUCCCUCAUCCGUCACCAUGGAAACCAUUCCAUAAAGUCAACAUUCAUCUUCUGACCCACUCUCAAGCUUCAUUACUGACUGGGGCCUGAUACUCUCUCUUCUACCUGUUCAUUACUGACUGGGGCCUGAUCAUCUCCCACCGGCCCCCCUGCCAACCCUGCCCUGCCCCCACCUCCUCCCUCUCCCCCAUCCUAUCUCUGCCCUUGAUAUCCACUAAUCCUUUCACUCUGGCCUGCUAAGUGAACGGAAUCCACAUAUGUGUUAUUGUUAAGAAGGGAGAAAAAUAAUUAAAGUAAAUAAGAAACCCUGCAAAUUGUGGAAUUGACGCCUGAUUGGAGACCAACAUUCUUAUACUGAUGUUCAUAUACUGUGUCAGCAUUUGGCGUAAUUUUCACAACAAUAAAUGUCUUGAUGCAGUGUC
Molecule: long non-coding RNA, 762 nt
Organism: Carcharodon carcharias (great white shark)
Lineage: Eukaryota; Metazoa; Chordata; Chondrichthyes; Lamniformes; Lamnidae
Exons: 2
Source: RefSeq, a predicted model, not a curated record